RNAcentral lists this ribosomal RNA (274 nucleotides) under uncultured bacterium. RNAcentral describes it as "partial 16S ribosomal RNA". It matches the Rfam family "Bacterial small subunit ribosomal RNA", at positions 523 to 796 of the family's 1533-position model. The record is from RNAcentral.
AUACGGAGGGUGCAAGCGUUGUUCGGAAUCACUGGGCGUAAAGCGCGCGUAGGUGGACUAAUCAGUUGAGGGUGAAAUCCCGGGGCUCAACCUCGGAACUGCCUUCAAUACUGUUAGUCUUGAGACCGAGAGAGGUGAGUGGAAUUCCUAGUGUAGAGGUGAAAUUCGUAGAUAUUAGGAAGAACACCAGUGGCGAAGGCGGCUCACUGGCUCGGUACUGACGCUGAGGUGCGAAAGCGUGGGGAGCAAACAGGAUUAGAAACCCCAGUAGUCC